GAUCAUGGCUCAGGAUGAACGCUGGCGGCAUGCCUAAGACAUGCAAGUCGAACGGAGUGGCCUUUAGAAGAUGGAGUGCUUGCACAAAAUCGGACAAAGAUUACCACUUAGUGGCGGACGGGUGAGUAACGCGUGGGUAACCUGCCUCAUACAGGGGGAUAACAGUUGGGAACGACUGCUAAUACCGCAUAAGCGCACGGUACCGCAUGGUACCGUGUGAAAAACUCCGGUGGU
This 234-nucleotide ribosomal RNA is filed under the name uncultured bacterium. RNAcentral describes it as "partial 16S ribosomal RNA". It matches the Rfam family "Bacterial small subunit ribosomal RNA", at positions 15 to 219 of the family's 1533-position model. The record is from RNAcentral.